Molecule: transfer-messenger RNA, 373 nt
Filed under: Dinghuibacter sp.
Lineage: Bacteria; Pseudomonadati; Bacteroidota; Chitinophagia; Chitinophagales; Chitinophagaceae
Rfam family: transfer-messenger RNA
About the family: Bacterial tmRNA, also known as 10Sa RNA or SsrA, is named for its dual tRNA and mRNA-like properties. Its role is to liberate the mRNA from a stalled ribosome.
Source: RNAcentral
GGGGCUGACCGGUUUUGACAGCAUAGGUCUUUGAAAGUGUAAGCAUGCCGUGCGUUGGAUAAUUAGCACGUAAAUCUGAAUACCCGAACUAUAAAUGGCGAAUCUACUUACGCCAUGGCUGCCUAAUCAGCGAUUAGCGUAGUCAUUAUGGCCGGGCAAGCGGGUUAACCUGUACCAAGCCGCCCCGCCCAAUCAAAAAAGAAACGGGUUGCUGCAACAGAAGGCUGUGACUGUUGCUUAAGACCAUACAGCUAAGGAGUGGAUUGGUUUGUUCCGGUCCGGUACAUUCCCGACAAUUAAUCCGGAAAUAAGCAUGUAGAAAGCUUUUGAUGAAUAUGUUUGGACGCGGGUUCGAAUCCCGCCAGCUCCACCC